AACGAACGCUGGCGGCAGGCCUAACACAUGCAAGUCGAACGCCCUAGCAAUAGGGAGUGGCGCACGGGUGCGUAACACGUGGGAAUGUACCCCAGGGUAAGGAAUAAUGUCUGGAAACGGACACUAAUACCUUAUAAUGACUUUGGUCCAAAGAUUUAUCGCCCUGGGAUCAGCCCGCGUCUGAUUAGCUAGUUGGUGAGGUAAUGGCUCACCAAGGCAACGAUCAGUAGCUGGUCUGAGAGGAUGAUAAGCCACACUGGAACUGAGACACGGUCCAGACUCCUACGGGAGGCAGCAGUGAGGAAUAUUGCACAAUGGAGGAAACUCUGAUGCAGCCAUGCCGCGUGAGUGAUGAAGGCCUUCGGGUUGUAAACCUCUUUUAGUAGGGAAGAAGCGAAAGUGACGGUACCUACAGAAAAAGCACCGGCUAACUACGUGCCAGCAGCCGCCGUAA
This 454-nucleotide ribosomal RNA is filed under the name uncultured bacterium. Its description in RNAcentral is "partial 16S ribosomal RNA". It matches the Rfam family "Bacterial small subunit ribosomal RNA", at positions 29 to 523 of the family's 1533-position model. The record is from RNAcentral.